CGCCAAGAAAUGUUGCAAUUGUUCAGUAUUGUCUUUACCAUGUAGUGGCUUAAUUAAUAAUUUGACAUGUUUAUAUGACUGUAAUAUUUUUACAUAAAUAAGGCCGUUAGCUUUCUCGUUUGAAUUGCUUUACAUUGUCUUAUCGGGGCCUUUUAUAGCUGACUAUGCGGUAUGGGCUUUGCUCGUUGUUGAAGUCCGUACAGUGACCUAUAGUUGUUAAUGUCUGUGUCAUUUUGGUCUUUUGUGGAUAGUUGUCUCAUUGGCAAUCAUACCACAUCUUCUUUUUUAUAUUAUAUGUUUUUUUAAGCAAAUCUUCAUUUUAUGUUUG
Molecule: long non-coding RNA, 328 nt
Filed under: Mytilus galloprovincialis (Mediterranean mussel)
Lineage: Eukaryota; Metazoa; Mollusca; Bivalvia; Mytilida; Mytilidae
Source: RNAcentral